ACACUGAUGGUGAAGUGGUUAUCAUGCUUGCCUUCCAUGCUUAGCAUUAGCAAGCGGCAGGGGUUCGAUUCCCCUUCAGUGUA
Molecule: transfer RNA, 83 nt
Filed under: Termitomyces sp. J132
Lineage: Eukaryota; Fungi; Basidiomycota; Agaricomycetes; Agaricales; Lyophyllaceae
Also listed under: 1 other name
Rfam family: tRNA
About the family: Transfer RNA (tRNA) molecules are approximately 80 nucleotides in length. Their secondary structure includes four short double-helical elements and three loops (D, anti-codon, and T loops).
Source: Rfam by way of RNAcentral